This 831-nucleotide ribosomal RNA is filed under the name Entrophospora etunicata. RNAcentral's name for it is "eukaryotic LSU rRNA". It matches the Rfam family "Eukaryotic large subunit ribosomal RNA", at positions 1 to 649 of the family's 3401-position model. Lineage: Eukaryota; Fungi; Glomeromycota; Glomeromycetes; Entrophosporales; Entrophosporaceae. The record is from RNAcentral.
AAGCGCUUGGCCGAGAUCGUGAGUUUUUUAACAAAUGACCUCAAAUCAGGCAAGAAUACCCGCUGAACUUAAGCAUAUCAAUAAGCGGAGGAAAAGAAACUAACAAGGAUUCCCCUAGUAACGGCGAGUGAAGAGGGAAGAGCUCAAAUUUUAAAUCUGCCUUGUUCCAAGGUCGAGUUGUAAUUUGAAGAAGCGUUUUCUUGGGCUCGCGGCCGGUAGAAGUCCUUUGGAACAGGACAUCGUAGAGGGUGACAAUCCCGUCCGUGACCGGUCGUGCGUUCAUCUANGAUACGCUUUCAAANAGUCGAGUUNUUGGGAUNCCAGNUCCAAACGGGUGGUAAACAUCACCUAAGGCUAAAUAUUGGCGAGAGACCGAAAGCGAACAAGUACCGUGAGGGAAAGAUGAAAAGAACUUUGAAAAGAGAGUUAAACAGUACGUGAAAUUGUUGAAAGGGAAACGAUUGAAGUCAGUCGUGCUGGCGCGAAAUCAACCCUCUCGUCUUGAGAUCACAUGGCGCGACGAGCCUCAAAACCGUCACGAAGCGUGAACUCUUGACGAAAAGGUGCACUUUCGUGUCCGCUGGUUAACAUCAAUUUCGAACGUCAUAAAAAGGCUGGAGGGAUGUGGCUCCUUCGGGAGUGUUAUAACCUUUAGCGGAAUGUGGCGUUCGGGAUUGAGGAUUGCAACGAAUACCUUCAGGGCUGUUCCACCUGGCUUCUCAUUGGUAUCCUGGUGACGACAGCUUGCUGACGUCGUUAGGAUCAGCUUCUGAACAGGCUAGAGUGUGAGCAAAUUCGUUAAGGAUGUUAACGUAAUGGCUUUAAACGACC